RNAcentral lists this ribosomal RNA (439 nucleotides) under uncultured bacterium. RNAcentral's name for it is "partial 16S ribosomal RNA". It matches the Rfam family "Bacterial small subunit ribosomal RNA", at positions 339 to 795 of the family's 1533-position model. The record is from RNAcentral.
CUACGGGACGCAGCAGUGAGGAAUAUUGCACAAUGGGGGGAACCCUGAUGCAGCAACGCCGCGUGGAGGAUGACGCAUUUCGGUGUGUAAACUCCUUUUAUAUGUCAAGAAAAUAACGGUAGCAUAUGAAUAAGCACCGGCUAACUCCGUGCCAGCAGCCGCGGUAAUACGGAGGGUGCAAGCGUUACUCGGAAUCACUGGGCGUAAAGGACGCGUAGGCGGGUCGGCAAGUCAGGUGUGAAAUCCUACAGCUUAACUGUAGAACUGCACUUGAAACUUCUAAUCUAGAGUAUGGGAGGGGGAGAUGGAAUUAGUGGUGUAGGGGUAAAAUCCGUAGAUAUCACUAGGAAUACCUAAAGCGAAGGCGAUCUCCUGGAACAUUACUGACGCUAAGGCGUGAAAGCGUGGGGAGCAAACAGGAUUAGAUACCCCGGUAGUC